This 2902-nucleotide ribosomal RNA is filed under the name Escherichia coli. RNAcentral describes it as "bacterial LSU rRNA". It matches the Rfam family "Bacterial large subunit ribosomal RNA". The record is from RNAcentral. Lineage: Bacteria; Pseudomonadati; Pseudomonadota; Gammaproteobacteria; Enterobacterales; Enterobacteriaceae.
UUAAGCGACUAAGCGUACACGGUGGAUGCCCUGGCAGUCAGAGGCGAUGAAGGACGUGCUAAUCUGCGAUAAGCGUCGGUGAGGUGAUAUGAACCGUUAUAACCGGCGAUUUCCGAAUGGGGAAACCCAGUGUGUUUCGACACACUAUCAUUAACUGAAUCCAUAGGUUAAUGAGGCGAACCGGGGGAACUGAAACAUCUAAGUACCCCGAGGAAAAGAAAUCAACCGAGAUUCCCCCAGUAGCGGCGAGCGAACGGGGAGGAGCCCAGAGCCUGAAUCAGUGUGUGUGUUAGUGGAAGCGUCUGGAAAGGCGCGCGAUACAGGGUGACAGCCCCGUACACAAAAAUGCACAUAUUGUGAGCUCGAUGAGUAGGGCGGGACACGUGGUAUCCUGUCUGAAUAUGGGGGGACCAUCCUCCAAGGCUAAAUACUCCUGACUGACCGAUAGUGAACCAGUACCGUGAGGGAAAGGCGAAAAGAACCCCGGCGAGGGGAGUGAAAAAGAACCUGAAACCGUGUACGUACAAGCAGUGGGAGCCUCUUAAUGGGGUGACUGCGUACCUUUUGUAUAAUGGGUCAGCGACUUAUAUUCUGUAGCAAGGUUAACCGAAUAGGGGAGCCGAAGGGAAACCGAGUCUUAACUGGGCGUUAAGUUGCAGGGUAUAGACCCGAAACCCGGUGAUCUAGCCAUGGGCAGGUUGAAGGUUGGGUAACACUAACUGGAGGACCGAACCGACUAAUGUUGAAAAAUUAGCGGAUGACUUGUGGCUGGGGGUGAAAGGCCAAUCAAACCGGGAGAUAGCUGGUUCUCCCCGAAAGCUAUUUAGGUAGCGCCUCGUGAAUUCAUCUCCGGGGGUAGAGCACUGUUUCGGCAAGGGGGUCAUCCCGACUUACCAACCCGAUGCAAACUGCGAAUACCGGAGAAUGUUAUCACGGGAGACACACGGCGGGUGCUAACGUCCGUCGUGAAGAGGGAAACAACCCAGACCGCCAGCUAAGGUCCCAAAGUCAUGGUUAAGUGGGAAACGAUGUGGGAAGGCCCAGACAGCCAGGAUGUUGGCUUAGAAGCAGCCAUCAUUUAAAGAAAGCGUAAUAGCUCACUGGUCGAGUCGGCCUGCGCGGAAGAUGUAACGGGGCUAAACCAUGCACCGAAGCUGCGGCAGCGACGCUUAUGCGUUGUUGGGUAGGGGAGCGUUCUGUAAGCCUGUGAAGGUGGCCUGUGAGGGUUGCUGGAGGUAUCAGAAGUGCGAAUGCUGACAUAAGUAACGAUAAAGCGGGUGAAAAGCCCGCUCGCCGGAAGACCAAGGGUUCCUGUCCAACGUUAAUCGGGGCAGGGUGAGUCGACCCCUAAGGCGAGGCCGAAAGGCGUAGUCGAUGGGAAACAGGUUAAUAUUCCUGUACUUGGUGUUACUGCGAAGGGGGGACGGAGAAGGCUAUGUUGGCCGGGCGACGGUUGUCCCGGUUUAAGCGUGUAGGCUGGUUUUCCAGGCAAAUCCGGAAAACCAAGGCUGAGGCGUGAUGACGAGGCACUACGGUGCUGAAGCGACAAAUGCCCUGCUUCCAGGAAAAGCCUCUAAGCAUCAGGUAACAUCAAAUCGUACCCCAAACCGACACAGGUGGUCAGGUAGAGAAUACCAAGGCGCUUGAGAGAACUCGGGUGAAGGAACUAGGCAAAAUGGUGCCGUAACUUCGGGAGAAGGCACGCUGAUAUGUAGGUGAAGCGACUUGCUCGUGGAGCUGAAAUCAGUCGAAGAUACCAGCUGGCUGCAACUGUUUAUUAAAAACACAGCACUGUGCAAACACGAAAGUGGACGUAUACGGUGUGACGCCUGCCCGGUGCCGGAAGGUUAAUUGAUGGGGUUAGCGGUAACGCGAAGCUCUUGAUCGAAGCCCCGGUAAACGGCGGCCGUAACUAUAACGGUCCUAAGGUAGCGAAAUUCCUUGUCGGGUAAGUUCCGACCUGCACGAAUGGCGUAAUGAUGGCCAGGCUGUCUCCACCCGAGACUCAGUGAAAUUGAACUCGCUGUGAAGAUGCAGUGUACCCGCGGCAAGACGGAAAGACCCCGUGAACCUUUACUAUAGCUUGACACUGAACAUUGAGCCUUGAUGUGUAGGAUAGGUGGGAGGCUUUGAAGUGUGGACGCCAGUCUGCAUGGAGCCGACCUUGAAAUACCACCCUUUAAUGUUUGAUGUUCUAACGUUGGCCCGUAAUCCGGGUUGCGGACAGUGUCUGGUGGGUAGUUUGACUGGGGCGGUCUCCUCCUAAAGAGUAACGGAGGAGCACGAAGGUUGGCUAAUCCUGGUCGGACAUCAGGAGGUUAGUGCAAUGGCAUAAGCCAGCUUGACUGCGAGCGUGACGGCGCGAGCAGGUGCGAAAGCAGGUCAUAGUGAUCCGGUGGUUCUGAAUGGAAGGGCCAUCGCUCAACGGAUAAAAGGUACUCCGGGGAUAACAGGCUGAUACCGCCCAAGAGUUCAUAUCGACGGCGGUGUUUGGCACCUCGAUGUCGGCUCAUCACAUCCUGGGGCUGAAGUAGGUCCCAAGGGUAUGGCUGUUCGCCAUUUAAAGUGGUACGCGAGCUGGGUUUAGAACGUCGUGAGACAGUUCGGUCCCUAUCUGCCGUGGGCGCUGGAGAACUGAGGGGGGCUGCUCCUAGUACGAGAGGACCGGAGUGGACGCAUCACUGGUGUUCGGGUUGUCAUGCCAAUGGCACUGCCCGGUAGCUAAAUGCGGAAGAGAUAAGUGCUGAAAGCAUCUAAGCACGAAACUUGCCCCGAGAUGAGUUCUCCCUGAGACUUAGAGUCUCCUGAAGGAACGUUGAAGACGACGACGUUGAUAGGCCGGGUGUGUAAGCGCAGCGAUGCGUUGAGCUAACCGGUACUAAUGAACCGUGAGGCUUAACCU